GGAUCGGUGGCCGAGUGGUUUAAGGCUCUGGUCUUGAAAACCAGCGUAGCGGCGACUCUACCGUGGGUUCGAAUCCCACCCCAUCCGCCA
This 90-nucleotide transfer RNA is filed under the name Mesorhizobium tianshanense. RNAcentral's name for it is "tRNA-Ser". It matches the Rfam family "tRNA". Rfam says of the family: Transfer RNA (tRNA) molecules are approximately 80 nucleotides in length. Their secondary structure includes four short double-helical elements and three loops (D, anti-codon, and T loops). Lineage: Bacteria; Pseudomonadati; Pseudomonadota; Alphaproteobacteria; Hyphomicrobiales; Phyllobacteriaceae. The record is from RNAcentral.